GUCGUGACUGCUUGCGCACGGCUGCAGGCGUUCUGCCGGGCAAGAACCUCCCGGUGCGCCCGGAGCUGCUCCAAGUUGAGAGUGGCGCAUAACAUGGGGCUGCAGUUGAGGCUUGAAGGGCCAAGGAGUGCCAACUUACCCUGGGUUGCAGAAAAGGAAGAAGAAUCAGCAGAGAGCAUUUGUGGCCAGCAAAGCUUAAAAUAUUUCCUAACCGAUCCUUUGCAAAAAAAGUUCACCCACUCCUGUAGUCAGCAGCUCCCCUACUGUGCGCAGUCAGUGUGCCAUCUCAGACUAGCAAAGUUGUCCAGAGAGGAAAGACAGGCCAAAAUAGUUCAGUAUGCUGUCUUACUGGGAGGACAACAGCUUAAGCCACAAAGCCCUGAGUUUGACCCUAGAACUCUGUGGCUACUGGUGACUCAUCUUGAAAAUUAUCAGAUUGAAUCUUCUCUACCGGUUUGAUAACAACUGAUGAGUGGAAAAAGAACGCCAAUCAAAUGUGCAUGCUUAAUAAGCAGCCUCCUUAUUCCCCUCUGCAGAUUUGUGCUUGGAUCAUCUAC
This 557-nucleotide long non-coding RNA is filed under the name Homo sapiens (human). RNAcentral describes it as "non-protein coding BHLHE40-AS1:6". The record is from RNAcentral. Lineage: Eukaryota; Metazoa; Chordata; Mammalia; Primates; Hominidae.